Molecule: ribosomal RNA, 253 nt
Filed under: uncultured prokaryote
Description: partial 16S ribosomal RNA
Rfam family: Bacterial small subunit ribosomal RNA
Source: RNAcentral
ACGGAGGGGGCGAGCGUUAUUCGGAAUCAUUGGGCGUAAAGGGCGCGUAGGCGGCUUUGUAAGUCUUGGGUGAAAGCCCUCGGCUCAACCGAGGAAUUGCCUUGGAUACUGCGAAGCUCGAGGCUGGAAGAGGACAGUGGAAUUCCCGGUGUAGCGGUGAAAUUCGUAGAUAUUCGGAAGAACACCAGUGGCGAAGGCGACUUACUGGACACAUAUUGACGCUGAGGUGCGAAAGCGUGGGGAGCAAACAGGA